CCUCUGAAACUACUGGGCCAAAUUAAACCAAACUUGGCCACAAUCAUCAUUGGGGUAUUUAGUUAAAAAAUUGUGUCCGAUGACCUGGCCAACCAACCAAGAUGGCCGCCAUGGCUAAAAAUAGAACAUAACGGUGAAAUUUAGAUUUUGGCUUAUAACUCUGAAACCGCAGCCUUUAGAGCAAAUCUGACAUGGGAUAAAAUUGUUUAUCAGGUCAAGAUCUAUCUGCCCUGAAAUUUUCAGAUGAAUCUGACAACCCGUUGUUGGGUUGCUGCCCCUGAAUUGGUAAUUUUAAGGAAAUUUUGCUGUUUUUGGUUAUUAUCUUGAAUAUUAUUAUAGAUAGAGAUAAACUGUAAACAUCAAUAAUGUUAAGCAAAGUAAGAUUUACAAAUAAGUCAACAUGACGGAAAUGGUCAAUUGACCCUAAGGAGUUAUUGUCCUUAUAGUCAAUUUUUAACAAUUUUCAUAAAAUUUGUAAAUUUUAACUAACAUUUUCCACUGAAACUACUGGGC
This 513-nucleotide long non-coding RNA is filed under the name Mytilus galloprovincialis (Mediterranean mussel). The record is from RNAcentral. Lineage: Eukaryota; Metazoa; Mollusca; Bivalvia; Mytilida; Mytilidae.